RNAcentral lists this ribosomal RNA (523 nucleotides) under Acinetobacter sp. HPW1. RNAcentral's name for it is "bacterial SSU rRNA". It matches the Rfam family "Bacterial small subunit ribosomal RNA", at positions 41 to 555 of the family's 1533-position model. Lineage: Bacteria; Pseudomonadati; Pseudomonadota; Gammaproteobacteria; Moraxellales; Moraxellaceae. The record is from RNAcentral.
GGGGGGCUUACACAUGCAAGUCGAGCGGGGGAUGAUUGCUUCGGUAAUCUGACCUAGCGGCGGACGGGUGAGUAAUACUUAGGAAUCUGCCUAUUAAUGGGGGACAACAUCUCGAAAGGGAUGCUAAUACCGCAUACGCCCUACGGGGGAAAGCAGGGGAUCACUUGUGACCUUGCGUUAAUAGAUGAGCCUAAGUCGGAUUAGCUAGUUGGUGGGGUAAAGGCCUACCAAGGCGACGAUCUGUAGCGGGUCUGAGAGGAUGAUCCGCCACACUGGGACUGAGACACGGCCCAGACUCCUACGGGAGGCAGCAGUGGGGAAUAUUGGACAAUGGGGGGAACCCUGAUCCAGCCAUGCCGCGUGUGUGAAGAAGGCCUUAUGGUUGUAAAGCACUUUAAGCGAGGAGGAGGCUCCUGUGGUUAAUACCCAAGAUGAGUGGACGUUACUCGCAGAAUAAGCACCGGCUAACUCUGUGCCAGCAGCCGCGGUAAUACAGAGGGUGCGAGCGUUAAUCGGAUUUACU